This 465-nucleotide ribosomal RNA is filed under the name uncultured Klebsiella sp. RNAcentral describes it as "bacterial SSU rRNA". It matches the Rfam family "Bacterial small subunit ribosomal RNA", at positions 338 to 795 of the family's 1533-position model. The record is from RNAcentral. Lineage: Bacteria; Pseudomonadati; Pseudomonadota; Gammaproteobacteria; Enterobacterales; Enterobacteriaceae.
CCUACGGGCGGCUGCAGUGGGGAAUAUUGCACAAUGGGCGCAAGCCUGAUGCAGCCAUGCCGCGUGUGUGAAGAAGGCCUUCGGGUUGUAAAGCACUUUCAGCGGGGAGGAAGGCGUUAAGGUUAAUAACCUUGGCGAUUGACGUUACCCGCAGAAGAAGCACCGGCUAACUCCGUGCCAGCAGCCGCGGUAAUACGGAGGGUGCAAGCGUUAAUCGGAAUUACUGGGCGUAAAGCGCACGCAGGCGGUCUGUCAAGUCGGAUGUGAAAUCCCCGGGCUCAACCUGGGAACUGCAUUCGAAACUGGCAGGCUAGAGUCUUGUAGAGGUGGGUAGAAUUCCAGGUGUAGCGGUGAAAUGCGUAGAGAUCUGGAGGAAUACCGGUGGCGAAGGCGGCCCCCUGGACAAAGACUGACGCUCAGGUGCGAAAGCGUGGGGAGCAAACAGGAUUAGAUACCCCUGUAGUC